GACAGAGGGUGCAAACGUUGUUCGGAAUUACUGGGCGUAAAGCGAGUGUAGGUGGUCUGAAAAGUCGGGUGUGAAAGCCCCGGGCUCAACCCGGGAAGUGCACUCGAAACUGCCAGGCUAGAGUGUCGGAGAGGUUGGUGGAAUUCUCGGUGUAGAGGUGAAAUUCGUGGAUAUCGAGAGGAACACCGGUGGCGAAGGCGGCCAACUGGACGAACACUGACGCUGAGACUCGAAAGCGUGGGGAG
RNAcentral lists this ribosomal RNA (245 nucleotides) under uncultured Chondromyces sp. RNAcentral describes it as "partial 16S ribosomal RNA". It matches the Rfam family "Bacterial small subunit ribosomal RNA", at positions 524 to 768 of the family's 1533-position model. The record is from RNAcentral. Lineage: Bacteria; Pseudomonadati; Myxococcota; Polyangiales; Polyangiaceae.